GUCAUGUUCGUCUAGUGGCUUAGGACACGGGGUUUUCAUCCCCGUAGACAGGGGUUCGAAUCCCCUACAUGACUCCA
RNAcentral lists this transfer RNA (77 nucleotides) under Polaromonas sp. P1-6. RNAcentral's name for it is "tRNA-Glu". It matches the Rfam family "tRNA". Rfam says of the family: Transfer RNA (tRNA) molecules are approximately 80 nucleotides in length. The record is from RNAcentral. Lineage: Bacteria; Pseudomonadati; Pseudomonadota; Betaproteobacteria; Burkholderiales; Comamonadaceae.